RNAcentral lists this ribosomal RNA (299 nucleotides) under uncultured prokaryote. RNAcentral describes it as "partial 16S ribosomal RNA". It matches the Rfam family "Bacterial small subunit ribosomal RNA", at positions 355 to 650 of the family's 1533-position model. The record is from RNAcentral.
UAAGGAAUAUUGGUCAAUGGACGCAAGUCUGAACCAGCCAUGCCGCGUGAAGGAAGACGGCCCUACGGGUUGUAAACUUCUUUUGUAAGGGAAAAAAUCUCCGGUCGUGAAUCGAAGCUGAUGGUACCGUAAGAAUAAGCAUCGGCUAACUCCGUGCCAGCAGCCGCGGUAAGACGGAGUAUGCAAGCGUUAUCCGGAUGCAUUGGGUUUAAAGGGUGCGCAGGCGGAAGGAUAAGUAAGUGGUGAAAGCCUCCGGCUCAGCUGUAGAACUGCCAUUGAUACUGUCGUUCGUGAGUACA